Molecule: ribosomal RNA, 255 nt
Filed under: uncultured bacterium
Lineage: Bacteria
Description: partial 16S ribosomal RNA
Rfam family: Bacterial small subunit ribosomal RNA
Source: RNAcentral
GACAGAGGCCCCAAGCAUUACCCGGAAUCACUGGGCGUAAAGGGUGUGUAGGCGGUCGUAUUAGUCGUUUGUGAAAGGUCUGGGGCCUAACCCCGGAAGCGCGAACGAAACGGUACGACUAAGAGGACGCGAGAGGUGAGUGGAACUCAAGGUGUAGGGGUGAAAUCCGUUGAUAUCUUGGGGAACACCAAAUGCGAAGGCAACUCACUGGCGCGUUCCUGACGCUGAGACACGAAAGCGUGGGUAGCGAAUGGG